Non-coding RNA from Camelina sativa (false flax), 196 nucleotides. The record is from RefSeq and is a predicted model, not a curated record. NCBI's taxonomy places the organism in Eukaryota, Viridiplantae, Streptophyta, Magnoliopsida, Brassicales, Brassicaceae.
GCAGCAGCCAAAUUUGGAGCCAAAAUAGUACCCUUUUGUGGAGUUGGGGAAGAUGAUUUUUUAAAAGUGGUUGUAGAUUACAAUGACCAGGUAAAGGUUCCGAUGGUGAAAGAAGUGCUAAAAAGAGUGUCAGCGGAAGGCCCGGAGGUGAGGGGAAGCGUGGAAGGAGAAGAGGGGAACCAAGACUUCCACAUGC